GCCUGGCAGGAGAGGGCAGAUCUCCGUGCAAAGUAUGUCAGAAAGCAGAUGGAAGCCAGGCCCCCUCCUGAAAGAGGCUCCUUGAAGAUAAUUCUAACAUCUUUGUCAUCAGUGUUGACAUCUCUUGAUUGUAUCCUGUCAUUCCAUUUGAGAUCUUCCUGGUUCUGGCUGGCAUCCUCUGACAUCACUCCAGCAGAAGAAAGGGAAGGAACACGCUGCAUUACUGCGUGAUUCAGUGUGGCGGGAAUCUAAAAGGUCGAGGAUCGAGAAGCCUGCAGGAUGGCAAAGUGAGGGACCCCGGCAGUGCGACCUCAGGAAUCCACUCCCGGAACUCUGACUGGGGUGCCUGUGGAGGCUCUGAAGGUACAGCAGCCAGGCGCUCUGUGGCAUUCUGAAUACUGGCACGCAGCCUUCGGCCUCUGCCAGCUUUUGUGAGCUGCCCUGCACCAGGCAGAGGGGGCCCCCAGGCCUGGCACAGGGUCUGACACAUGGCAAAUGCUACAGAAAUAGCUGUGGACCGCCUGACUGCAAGAUCGUAUUGAACAUCUGGUGCCAGGCCUCAGCCUGUGCUGCUGCAGCCAGGAGCAAAUACGGGGAAGUCUGGCUAAGGAGAACGCAUGCCUGUGUGGGCCCCAAGAAUCCAUCUUGAGAUCAGGAGGAACAAGAGCCCAGUGACCUUGACAGCCAGCUCAGGCAGCCUGUUAAAUCCCAUGCCCAGGUUUCUAGCUUCUGCCCCAGAGGCCCAAGAUGAGGAUGUGGCAGCACAGGCUCUAAGCACCAUGUCCUUCUCAGAGAAUAAACCUUUCCCUGCAGCCCUUGUGGGAACACAUUUUUCAGCUGAAUCUUUGUUCCCAAGACCUUUUUCUGUUAGCAUUGGGCCUGCUUCAAGAUGACAGUAGCCACC
This 904-nucleotide small RNA is filed under the name Pan troglodytes (chimpanzee). RNAcentral describes it as "processed transcript". The record is from RNAcentral. Lineage: Eukaryota; Metazoa; Chordata; Mammalia; Primates; Hominidae.